CUCAGGUUCUAUCUUUCGCUUGGAAAGCUCUUGGAGUUGCUGUAAUUAUAUGUUUAUAUACAUGCCAAAAUUAAAUAAAUGUUUAAGUGAAGAGAAUAAGGGUCUAAGAGGAGCAUUUCAGCCUGCUUUUCUCUUGUGGGAUUGAAAGGAAGAUUUGAAGCAAAAUUCUAUUAAGUUUCAUUGCUUAUAGAGAGGAGAUCUGAGUCAGUUCUUUCUCUGUACUUUUCUAAUGAAAAUUUCCAUUUGCUCGGUGACUUUUUCCAAUAUCUUUAAAAAGAAAAAAAAAAAAAAAAACAGAAUC
Long non-coding RNA from Phalaenopsis equestris, 301 nucleotides. RefSeq lists it as uncharacterized. The record is from RefSeq and is a predicted model, not a curated record. NCBI's taxonomy places the organism in Eukaryota, Viridiplantae, Streptophyta, Magnoliopsida, Asparagales, Orchidaceae. The transcript is spliced from 2 exons.